Molecule: ribosomal RNA, 261 nt
Filed under: uncultured prokaryote
Description: partial 16S ribosomal RNA
Rfam family: Bacterial small subunit ribosomal RNA
Source: RNAcentral
UACGGAGGAUGCGAGCGUUAUCCGGAUUUAUUGGGUUUAAAGGGUGCGUAGGCGGCUUUUUAAGUCAGCGGUGAAAUUUUGCAGCUUAACUGUAACAGUGCCGUUGAUACUGGGGAGCUAGGAUUUGGUUGCUGUGGGUGGAAUGUGUGGUGUAGCGGUGAAAUGCUUAGAUAUUACACAGAACACCAAUUGCGUAGGCAGCUUACUGAGCCGACACUGACGCUGAGGCACGAAAGCGUGGGGAUCAAACAGGAUUAGAUA